CAUGUAGGCGGUUGGGUAAGUCAGAUGUGAAAUCCCUUGGCUCAACCAAGGAAGGGCAUUUGAAACCGCCCGGCUUGAGUACGGGAGGGGGAAGCGGAAUUCCCGGUGUAGAGGUGAAAUUCGUAGAUAUCGGGAGGAACACCAGUGGCGAAGGCGGCUUCCUGGACCGAUACUGACGCUGAGACGCGAAAGCGUGGGGAGCAAACA
Molecule: ribosomal RNA, 207 nt
Filed under: uncultured bacterium
Lineage: Bacteria
Description: partial 16S ribosomal RNA
Rfam family: Bacterial small subunit ribosomal RNA
Source: RNAcentral